CAUUGAAACACCAGUUCUCGAGUGAUAGCCAAAGUUAAGCAGCGUCGAGCCUGAUCAGUACUUAGAUGGGUGACCGCUUGGGGAUACCAGGUGCUGCAA
Molecule: non-coding RNA, 99 nt
Organism: Acanthosepion pharaonis
Lineage: Eukaryota; Metazoa; Mollusca; Cephalopoda; Sepiida; Sepiidae
Source: the annotation of a GenBank genome assembly